CUUAAACUCUGUACAUAGCUGAUAAUAUAACACUAGAAAUGUCUUUAUCUUUUUGAAACCUUUGUGAAGUUUGUUUACUGUUCAUUUGUAAUUGUUUGUUGUUGAGGUUGUUCUUGUUACUUCUUACUUGUGUUUAUUGUUGAUUUCGUUUGGCAAAAUAAACAUGUUUUACCAUUAAAAUUAAGCCCCAUUGAAUUGAAUUGAAUUGAGAGAGAGAGUGAGAGAGAGUGUGAGUGUCUCUCUCUCUCUUCCUUCCUCUCAUCCUUCCUCUCGCUCUCGCUCUCUAACCCCAGCGUGAAGAGACCAGACAGACAUGGCUGCCACUCUGAAGGGAACUGUCGUCUCUCUUCUUCUUCUCUCCUCCAUUUCUCAAGGUGUCCAUGGCGUUGAAGUGUUCCACCGUGAAUCAGUGAGAGCUGUAGAGGGUCAGAACAUCACUCUACCCUGUCUACUAGGAGAGAAGGAGGGACGUAAGCCCGUCAUCUCUCAGGUAGAAUGGAGGAAGAAAGGAGAGCUAGAGGACCACAAGCUGGUAGUGUAUAACCCUAGUUUUGGUGAAACCCUCAUCUGGCCUAACGUCACCCUGGACGUGGCGUGGUACAAGGACAAGGACAAGCUAAUGGGCACAUCUCUGGUUCUGAAGGGCGUAGAGGCUAGGGACAGCGGGCGCUACAUCUGUGACAUCACCACCUACCCCAACGGUUCCAUCAGGAAAGUCACCAGACUGAGGGUUGAAGGUCCUGCUGACACUGUGACCCCCAGCACCAACAUAACUGAGUCUGCAGGUACCAGCACCAACGUGACUGAGUCUACAGGUACCAGCACCAAUGUAACUGAGUCUACAGUUACCAGCACCAACGUGACUGAGUCUACAGGUACCAGCACCAACGUAACUGAGUCUACAGGUACCAGCACCAACGUGACUGAGUCUACAGGUACCAGCACCAAUGUAACUGAGUCUACAGGUACCAGCACCAAUGUAACAAGCGAACUAACAGAGCCAGGAGAGAUGACAACCCCCACAGCUAACCUCAGCGUCACACCAGACACCCUCACCUCCUCUACCGUACAGGAAGUCAACACAGAGGCGAGACCAAAGGGGUCAGAGGUCAACAGCUCCACCGACAGUCCAGUCAGAGUCCCGUCCACGACCCAAUCAGGAUCCACCUAUCCACCCAAGGUCCAAUCAGAUCAGCCCACUCUGUGGAGCGUCCAAUCCGAUGGUAGGCAGGGGAACGAGUCUGAAUCAGAGACCCCCAGUGGUGGUGGUCAGGGGGGCUCAGUGUCCCCUACGUUAAACCCAGAGAAGAGCACCCUGGCUGGGGAGAAGGAAGACCACACCCUGGGGACCUACUAUACCUCCACUGCCUCCCAUGGGGAUGACGUGGUGAUUGAGACAGGUCCCAGUAGUGGUCAGAGGUACGUGGUGGUGUUUGUGCUGCUUCCUGUCCUGGUUCUGCUGCUCGUGAUCGGGUUCCUCUACAGACGGUACAUCAUCCAGAAGAAGAUGGACCUCCCUCCCCCCUUCAAGCCUCCUCCCCCUCCAGUGAAGUAUUCCUCUUUGAGAGCUGAUGAUGUCCCCAUGACCGACAUCCUCACCUGAAGGGGGAGCUGUUGUAUUUGUUUUAAUGGUUAAACGAAACGCUCCAUUGCUCCCCAUUCAUUUUAUAGUCAUACUUUAAUGUGCGCCCUCUGCUGUCAGAAAUAUAAAUGAGCAUUUUACUGUAAUACCUUUUCCGUACCCAUGCUGUGUGAUUUAAUGGUAUCUCUUUACAAAGCUGGACUUUGAAGCCUUUUCUUCUGUUAUGUUGCUAUGCGUUUUUUGGUUUUCAAGUCAAUGAGCUUUUACCAAAGAGUAUGAUAUUCAUUGUUACAGAAAUGUCUUUAUGGUUAAACUUUGGUGUGAAAUAAGGAAACCAAAAUAUUCUUUAUUAAAUUUGUAAAUAUUAUACUUUUUUUUUUAUACCAGAUAUAUUUUAUGAAAUUAUUAAGAUCGCAAUAUAAUGUAUCCAAUCUGUUUAAAUAAAGAUGUUGAACAAAUU
This 2042-nucleotide long non-coding RNA is filed under the name Salmo salar (Atlantic salmon). RNAcentral's name for it is "lncRNA (ENSSSAG00000113688.1)". Lineage: Eukaryota; Metazoa; Chordata; Actinopteri; Salmoniformes; Salmonidae. The record is from RNAcentral.